GAUGAACGCUGGCGGCGUGCCUAAUACAUGCAAGUCGAACGCACGCACGAACAGUUUGCUUCUCUGAUGUUAGCGGCGGACGGGAGAGUAACACGUGGAUAACCUACAUAAAAGACUGGGAUCACUUCGAAAAACCUGUUCUAACACAGGAUGAUAUUUUGAACCGUAAGUUUCAAAAGAGAAUGACCGUCUUUAUGUCUAUUAUAGUUGGAUCCGCACGGCAUUAGCAAGUUGGUAAGGUAACGACUUACUAAGGCAACGAUGCAUAGCAGACCUAAGAGGAAGAUCGGCAACACGGGAACGAGGAUGCGGUGCCAACUCCGACGGGAGGCAGCGGUAGGGAGUCUUCCGGAAGGGGCGAAGGCCUGACGGAGAAACGCCGCGUGAGUGAUGAAGGUCUUCAGAGCGUAAAACACUGUUAUUAGAGAAGAACAUAUGUGUAAGUAACUGUGAACAUCUUGACGGUAGCUAAUCAGAUAGCCACGGCUAACUACGUG
Molecule: ribosomal RNA, 497 nt
Filed under: uncultured bacterium
Lineage: Bacteria
Description: partial 16S ribosomal RNA
Rfam family: Bacterial small subunit ribosomal RNA
Source: RNAcentral